AAUUCGUGAUGUGGACAUUUCUUAAUCAGCGUAUUAAAAUGCUCUUGAGCUUCAUGAAAACUCUCUCCCUCUAACUGUUUGAACAAAGUAAUCUCUCUUCUUAGCU
This is a small nucleolar RNA of Gossypium raimondii (Peruvian cotton), 106 nucleotides long. It matches the Rfam family "Plant small nucleolar RNA R71". Rfam says of the family: R71 is a member of the C/D box family of snoRNAs containing the C (UGAUGA) and D (CUGA) box motifs. Multiple nearly identical copies of this snoRNA have been identified in Arabidopsis, and it is thought to function as a 2'-O-ribose methylation guide for 18S ribosomal RNA. NCBI's taxonomy places the organism in Eukaryota, Viridiplantae, Streptophyta, Magnoliopsida, Malvales, Malvaceae. The record is from Rfam.